UAUAAACGUCCGUUUGCAAAAAUUCUUUUUUUUAACUAUGAGAAGUAAACCUCGUUUAUCUUUGUAUCUAGGAGUAUAAAAUAGCCAGCAGAACACACAGUAACAUCAACUGAAUAUGGAGAAAAUAAUAUUGAGAUGCAAAGUAGAAUUAGAAAUAAAAUUUUGAAAAAGGAUCGAGGACGUCGUUUACUGGUAGAAUUUGCUCAGAAUUACAGGGGUGUUUGAAGGGGCUUCCGAUUGAUCUUCUACCUGUGAUAAGACGAAGAACAACUAUGUGUUGCACCUGACACAACCUGAUCAAGUGGAUCAAGUUACUCAAAGUAACGGAACCUCAGGUCAGUUCAGUCCGAUAAUCUUCCAUACCAGGGGGUAAUCUCAUCAUGGGGUCACAUCGCACCCGGACGAUACUGUAAUCCACUCCCUCACUGAAGUUAUCUCUCCAGAACGCUCGGCAUGCAAACUGCCUCUCAAAGAUCUUUGAAAUAAACAUCUUUGGUGAGCCUUUCAUCACUUUACAUUGUCAGCAAUGGUGUAUAUAGGACUUCGAUAUAUAACAUUAUGU
Molecule: long non-coding RNA, 562 nt
Organism: Saccostrea cuccullata (small rock oyster)
Lineage: Eukaryota; Metazoa; Mollusca; Bivalvia; Ostreida; Ostreidae
Exons: 3
Source: RefSeq, a predicted model, not a curated record